AUUCAAAAAGGUUAUUGCUACACUUACAUUGGUUUGGUUUUGUAUGGUCCUAUUCUGUGUGCCAAACCCUAAGGCCUCUCCCAAUCAAUUUGUAUUAGUCUUUUAGACUUUGUGAAAUACUAAUCAAAUAGGCCAAAGAAAAACAAGGAAGUCGCCUUUUUCUCAUCUUCCCACUGCAUAUUCUUCCAUCUGUUUUUAUUUGCUGGCCAUUGUAAUCAUGGGUCCUUUCAGCCAUCAUUACAAUGGAAAGCCUUCUCUCUCUUUUCUUUCAUAUGCAAUUACACAUUACUUCAUGUCUUCUUCUAUAUAAUUCCCAUUUUCUUUCUCAUGGGUUCUUCACCCAUACCUUUCCAUCUUCCAUUGCCCUUUUUCUUUUCCUCUCUUUCUUUCUCAGAGUAAAAGAAGCCAAAAAUGUGUACUAACUCUUCAAAACUGAGCAUAUGCGGUUCCUUUUAUGUUGCUCUUAGCAAUCCAAAGCUAUUAAGAGGAAGAAACCGCCCGUGUCGCCGAUUAUUAAGCUGCAGAAGAAGGAGGUGGUUAAAACAAGCAAAGGAGAAUAAAAUGGCAGUUGCAAAGAAAGAGAUGGAAAUCAAGAACUUGAAACUUUAUAUGAAGAACAAAAGCAUCAUAGAAGAGAACGAGAAGCUAAGAAAGAAAGCUUUACUUCUACACCAGGAGAAUCAAGCCUUAUUAUUUCAGCUUCAAACUCUCAACAGUAAAAACCAUUUACUAUAAUAAUAUGAGAACGUGAGAAGAAGAAGCGUAGGAAGGAAAGAGGGGGAUUUAUAUAUAUUUAGUUUCUUUUCUUCUCUUACUUGAUUAGGGAUUCCUUAUAUUAAUUAUUUAGUCUCUUCAUGCUGUUUUAAUCUUUUUCUCUAUCUUUUGUAACUUUCCUUCUUUCUUUUAACCUACAAGCUUAAGCUAUUUCUGCAUUUAUGUGACAAAUAAAUUUGAAAUAUAGUGUACUUUAUGAAA
Jatropha curcas is the source of this 975-nucleotide non-coding RNA. NCBI's taxonomy places the organism in Eukaryota, Viridiplantae, Streptophyta, Magnoliopsida, Malpighiales, Euphorbiaceae. The record is from RefSeq and is a predicted model, not a curated record.